This 287-nucleotide unclassified non-coding RNA is filed under the name plant metagenome. RNAcentral's name for it is "partial contains 5.8S ribosomal RNA, internal transcribed spacer 2, and large subunit ribosomal RNA". The record is from RNAcentral.
CUUGACCCCGCCUCUUGGUCCGUCGUGAGCAGGGAUGGCGUAGAACGAGUUACCGUCCUCGGGUUCCCAGAUAAAGAUGGGGAAGCGGUGGGGGAGGAAGGGUUCGAUGCCGCCCUUCGGGUCGAACCAGAACAGGAGCUGGCGCGUAACCUCUAGCGGGAGGCCGAGGUCGGCGAGCAGCUUCGGCGCCCACGCUCCGGCCGAGACCACCAUCCGCUCCGCCUCGUAAGUCCCCGAUGCCGUCUCCACCAGCACCCCGGACUCAGUAAGUUCCCAGGACAGCAGUU